RNAcentral lists this ribosomal RNA (497 nucleotides) under uncultured bacterium. RNAcentral's name for it is "partial 16S ribosomal RNA". It matches the Rfam family "Bacterial small subunit ribosomal RNA", at positions 28 to 507 of the family's 1533-position model. The record is from RNAcentral.
GAUGAACGCUGGCGGCGUGCCUAAUACAUGCAAGUCGAGCGAGCAGACGAGGAGCUUGCUCCUCUGACGUUAGCGGCGGACGGGUGAGUAACACGUGGAUAACCUACCUAUAAGACUGGGAUAACUUCGGGAAACCGGAGCUAAUACCGGAUAAUAUAUUGAACCGCAUGGUUCAAUAGUGAAAGACGGUUUUGCUGUCACUUAUAGAUGGAUCCGCGCCGCAUUAGCUAGUUGGUAAGGUAACGGCUUACCAAGGCAACGAUGCGUAGACGACCUGAGAGGGUGAUCGGCCACACUGGAACUGAGACACGGUCCAGACGCCUACGGGAGGCAGCAGUAGGGAAUCUUCCGCAAUGGGCGAAAGCUUGACGGAGCAACGCCGCGUGAGUGAUGAAGGUCUUCGGAUCGUAAAGCUCUGUUAUUAGGGAAGAACAAAUGUGUAAGUAACUAUGCACGUCUUGACGGUACCUAAUCAGAAAGCCACGGCUAACUACGUG